UUGGCGGACGGGUGAGUAACGCGUGGGGAACCGUGCCCUGUACAGGGGGAGUAACACUUAGAAAUAGGUGCUAAUACCGCAUAAGCGCACAGUAUCGCAUGAUACAGUGUGAAAAACUCCGGUGGUACAGGAUGGACCCGCGUCUGAUUAGCUGGUUGGCGGGGUAACGGCCCACCAAGGCGACGAUCAGUAGCCGGCCUGAGAGGGUGAACGGCCACAUUGGGACUGAGACACGGCCCAAACUCCUACGGGAGGCAGCAG
RNAcentral lists this ribosomal RNA (261 nucleotides) under uncultured bacterium. RNAcentral's name for it is "partial 16S ribosomal RNA". It matches the Rfam family "Bacterial small subunit ribosomal RNA", at positions 95 to 354 of the family's 1533-position model. The record is from RNAcentral.